This is a non-coding RNA of Dehalococcoidia bacterium SG8_51_3, 139 nucleotides long. NCBI's taxonomy places the organism in Bacteria, Bacillati, Chloroflexota, Dehalococcoidia. The record is from Rfam.
GACAACUGAAUAGUCUGUCCUGAGACAGUGGGUGCCGGAAACGGCUUAAUCAGCAAGCCUGCCGAGGAUGAUAGAGAAUCUGGGUGAACUGGAUUGAUUUAUCCCUGCGCAGCGGGCGCAGGGAUUUUUUAUGGCAUUA